This 465-nucleotide ribosomal RNA is filed under the name Vreelandella stevensii. RNAcentral's name for it is "partial 16S ribosomal RNA". It matches the Rfam family "Bacterial small subunit ribosomal RNA", at positions 338 to 795 of the family's 1533-position model. Lineage: Bacteria; Pseudomonadati; Pseudomonadota; Gammaproteobacteria; Oceanospirillales; Halomonadaceae. The record is from RNAcentral.
CCUACGGGAGGCUGCAGUGGGGAAUAUUGGGCAAUGGGGGCAACCCUGAUCCAGCCAUGCCGCGUGUGUGAAGAAGGCCCUCGGGUUGUAAAGCACUUUCAGUGAGGAAGAACGCCUGGUGGUUAAUACCCAUCAGGAAAGACAUCACUCACAGAAGAAGCACCGGCUAACUCCGUGCCAGCAGCCGCGGUAAUACGGAGGGUGCGAGCGUUAAUCGGAAUUACUGGGCGUAAAGCGCGCGUAGGUGGCUUGAUAAGCCGGUUGUGAAAGCCCCGGGCUCAACCUGGGAACGGCAUCCGGAACUGUCAAGCUAGAGUGCAGGAGAGGAAGGUAGAAUUGCCAGUGUAGCGGUGAAGUGCGUAGAGAUCGGGAGGAGUACCAGUGGCGAGGGUGGCCUUCUGGACUGACACUGACACUGAGGUGCGAAGGCGUGGGUAGCAAGCAGGAUUAGAUACCCCAGUAGUC